Non-coding RNA from Peziza echinospora, 93 nucleotides. The record is from the annotation of a GenBank genome assembly. Lineage: Eukaryota; Fungi; Ascomycota; Pezizomycetes; Pezizales; Pezizaceae.
UCUUUGGUAGUAUAGUGGUCAGUAUUUUCGCCUGUCAGGAAUGUUCACACUUCCAGCGCGCGAGAGACCGGGGUUCAAUUCCCCGCCAAAGAG